This 634-nucleotide ribosomal RNA is filed under the name uncultured marine eukaryote. RNAcentral describes it as "SSU rRNA". It matches the Rfam family "Eukaryotic small subunit ribosomal RNA", at positions 617 to 1258 of the family's 1831-position model. The record is from RNAcentral.
GGUUAAAACGCUCGUAGUUGGAUAUCCGCUAAGGGGUUCCGGUCCUUCCCAGUGAAGAAUACGCGGAACUCUCCUUGGCAUUUGUUCAGGGAAAGUGUUUGCACUUUGUUGUGUGUCACGUGAUCUGGAUUUUUACUUUGAGGAAAUGAGAGUGUUCCAAGCAGGCUCACGCCGUGAAUAUGAUAGCAUGGAAUAAUAGCAUAGGACCCCUUUCCAAAGCUGUUGGUUUUUGGAACGAGGUAAUCAUAAUAAGGAUAGUUGGGGGUAUUCGUAUUUAACUGUCAGAGGUGAAAUUCUUGGAUUUUUUAAAGACGAACUACUGCGAAGGCAUCUGCCCAGGAUGUUUUUGUUGAUCAAGAACGAAAGUUAGGGGAUCGAAGACGAUCAGAUACCGUCCUAGUCUUAACCUUAAACUAUGCCGGCUGGAGAUCGGAGUUGUCAGAAUUGUGACGGCUUCGGCAUCCUGAGAGAAAUCGAAGUCUUUGGGUUCCGGGGGGAGUAUGGUCGCAAGGCUGAAACUUAAAGGAAUUGACGGAAGGGCACCACCAGGAGUGGAGCCUGCGGCUUAAUUUGACUCAACACGGGGAAACUCACCAGGUCCAGACAUAGUCAGGAUUGACAGACUGAUAGCUCU